GAUGAACGCUAGCGGCAGGCCUAACACAUGCAAGUCGAGGGAGAAGCCCUUUCGGGGGCAGAAACCGGCGCACGGGUGCGUAACUCGUAUGCAACCUACCUUUCACAGGGGGAUAGCCCGAAGAAAUUUGGAUUAAUACCCCAUAAUAUUGUUGGAUGGCAUCAUCUGGCAAUUAAAGCUACGACGGUGGAAGAUGGGCAUGCGUCCUAUUAGCUAGUUGGAGUGGUAACGGCACCCCAAGGCUACGAUAGGUAGGGGUCCUGAGAGGGAGAUCCCCCACACUGGUACUGAGACAGGGACCAGACUCCUACGGGAGGCAGCAGUGAGGAAUAUUGGUCAAUGGUCGGAAGACUGAACCAGCCAUGCCGCGUGCAGGAAGAAUGCCUUAUGGGUUGUAAACUGCUUUUAUAUGGGAAGAAACAAGGCGUAACGUGUACG
Molecule: ribosomal RNA, 438 nt
Filed under: Capnocytophaga gingivalis
Lineage: Bacteria; Pseudomonadati; Bacteroidota; Flavobacteriia; Flavobacteriales; Flavobacteriaceae
Description: bacterial SSU rRNA
Rfam family: Bacterial small subunit ribosomal RNA
Source: RNAcentral